AUUUGUUACAAGUCCUGAUAGGAUUCACCAAAUUGGUGAAGAUGCCUUGUAACCGUGUAGCUAGUCUAUAGGGGGACACAUAUAGAUG
Regulatory RNA element from Lactobacillus delbrueckii subsp. bulgaricus, 88 nucleotides. It matches the Rfam family "SAM-III riboswitch aptamer (SMK box)". NCBI's taxonomy places the organism in Bacteria, Bacillati, Bacillota, Bacilli, Lactobacillales, Lactobacillaceae. The record is from Rfam.